GAGCGACAGAUAAGGAGCUUGCUCCUUUGACGUUAGCGGCGGACGGGUGAGUAACACGUGGAUAACCUACCUAUAAGACUGGGAUAACUUCGGGAAACCGGAGCUAAUACCGGAUAACAUAUUGAACCGCAUGGUUCAAUAGUGAAAGGCGGCUUUGCUGUCACUUAUAGAUGGAUCCGCGCCGUAUUAGCUAGUUGGUAAGGUAACGGCUUACCAAGGCAACGAUACGUAGCCGACCUGAGAGGGUGAUCGGCCACACUGGAACUGAGACACGGUCCAGACUCCUACGGGAGGCAGCAGUAGGGAAUCUUCCGCAAUGGGCGAAAGCCUGACGGAGCAACGCCGCGUGAGUGAUGAAGGUCUUCGGAUCGUAAAACUCUGUUAUCAGGGAAGAACAAAUGUGUAAGUAACUGUGCACAUCUUGACGGUACCUGAUCAGAAAGCCACGGCUAACUACGUGCCAGCAGCCGCGGUAAUACGUAGGUGGCAAGCGUUAUCCGGAAUUAUUGGGCGUAAAGCGCGCGUAGGCGGUUUUUUAAGUCUGAUGUGAAAGCCCACGGCUCAACCGUGGAGGGUCAUUGGAAACUGGAAAACUUGAGUGCAGAAGAGGAAAGUGGAAUUCCAUGUGUAGCGGUGAAAUGCGCAGAGAUAUGGAGGAACACCAGUGGCGAAGGCGACUUUCUGGUCUGUAACUGACGCUGAUGUGCGAAAGCGUGGGGAUCAAACAGGAUUAGAUACCCUGGUAGUCCACGCCGUAAACGAUGAGUGCUA
Molecule: ribosomal RNA, 771 nt
Filed under: Staphylococcus pasteuri
Lineage: Bacteria; Bacillati; Bacillota; Bacilli; Caryophanales; Staphylococcaceae
Description: bacterial SSU rRNA
Rfam family: Bacterial small subunit ribosomal RNA
Source: RNAcentral